AAAUACAACAGGAACUAAAAACUGCUCGUAUGCUAUCAAAAGAACACAAAGAAACUGUUGAUAAACUUAGAGAAAAAAUUUCAGAAAAGACAAUUCAAAUUUCAGACAUUCAAAAGGAUUUAGAUAAAUCAAAAGAUGAAUUACAGAAAAAGACCGACAGAACCACCAAGUAAAACCUGAAAAAAGGUUACUAAGUGAUGGACAACAGCACCUUACGGAAAGCCUGAGAGA
This 231-nucleotide long non-coding RNA is filed under the name Homo sapiens (human). Its description in RNAcentral is "non-protein coding lnc-BDH2-3:1". Lineage: Eukaryota; Metazoa; Chordata; Mammalia; Primates; Hominidae. The record is from RNAcentral.